Molecule: ribosomal RNA, 667 nt
Filed under: uncultured beta proteobacterium
Lineage: Bacteria; Pseudomonadati; Pseudomonadota; Betaproteobacteria
Description: bacterial SSU rRNA
Rfam family: Bacterial small subunit ribosomal RNA
Source: RNAcentral
GCACCUGGUGGCGAGUGGCGAACGGGUGAGUAAUACAUCGGAACAUGUCCUGUAGUGGGGGAUAGCCCGGCGAAAGCCGGAUUAAUACCGCAUACGAUCUACGGAUGAAAGCGGGGGACCUUCGGGCCUCGCGCUAUAGGGUUGGCCGAUGGCUGAUUAGCUAGUUGGUGGGGUAAAGGCCUACCAAGGCGACGAUCAGUAGCUGGUCUGAGAGGACGACCAGCCACACUGGGACUGAGACACGGCCCAGACUCCUACGGGAGGCAGCAGUGGGGAAUUUUGGACAAUGGGCGAAAGCCUGAUCCAGCAAUGCCGCGUGUGUGAAGAAGGCCUUCGGGUUGUAAAGCACUUUUGUCCGGAAAGAAAUCCUUGGUUCUAAUAUAGCCGGGGGAUGACGGUACCGGAAGAAUAAGCACCGGCUAACUACGUGCCAGCAGCCGCGGUAAUACGUAGGGUGCGAGCGUUAAUCGGAAUUACUGGGCGUAAAGCGUGCGCAGGCGGUUUGCUAAGACCGAUGUGAAAUCCCCGGGCUCAACCUGGGAACUGCAUUGGUGACUGGCAGGCUAGAGUAUGGCAGAGGGGGGUAGAAUUCCACGUGUAGCAGUGAAAUGCGUAGAGAUGUGGAGGAAUACCGAUGGCGAAGGCAGCCCCCUGGGCCAAUACUGAC